This is a long non-coding RNA of Octopus sinensis (East Asian common octopus), 939 nucleotides long. RefSeq lists it as uncharacterized. The transcript has 4 exons. The record is from RefSeq and is a predicted model, not a curated record. NCBI's taxonomy places the organism in Eukaryota, Metazoa, Mollusca, Cephalopoda, Octopoda, Octopodidae.
UCACCUCGCACCGUUUUAGUCAAAAUACUUCACAAAAGAAACGAUUUGAUGGAUGUUUUUUAUGGCCACUGUGAACAAUAUAAACACUGAAGGAGAGACAAAGAGAGACAGAGAGACAGAGAGCCGGAGUAACCGACGCCACAGAGAUGGUUGUGGGUGGAGGAAGGAUUAUUCCAACUGUCAUCGCAAUUAGGAAAUAGUUCGAACGUCAGCUGAUGGUCGGGCUGGUCGGUUUGUUGGGUGGCGGAGAGACAAUCAAAACCCGUGAUUAAUGAUAACAACAGCAAUAAAGACAGAAGUAGCAGUAGCCGAAGUAUAAACGAUAGAAGCAAAGUUUCACCUUACGUUCAUUCCGUAGCAAGUAUUGGAUAACGACGGAUGAUCGAUGGACCAAAGUGCAAGAGAUAACACAGGAUAACGUUGUGGCUUACAUUGUGGUCACUUGGAACACUGCACUUGUUGCAUCUACACUCACUCGAGUCUCACUCAACUGCACUCACUCCCGUCAUCCGCCCUUAAAGCUGUCAUCUGCCAUAGACACAUCAUACAUGUACACAAACACACACAACAAACACACACAUACACGAUUAUAGAGGGCAACGGAAUGUAUGAACAAUAUCAACAACAUAUCUAAGGCUGUCUUGCUACGACAUCAACAAAAGCCAAAGCGUCAAGUGACAACAACAACAACAGCAGCAGCAGCAACAGAACAGAGAAUCAAGUUCAGAAAUCAGUUUUGAUCCAGAACAUAUUUAGUCCUCUUCGCAACCGUCCACCAUGGGGUUUAAAGUUUCAGAGACAAAAUACAAGUCCGUUUCAUCUUGGUUGGAAUGGCAUUCCUUGGCUUUAUGGUGGUCUAUGCCCUCCGUGUCAACCUCAGCGUGGCCAUUAUAGCCAUGACGAACACUCUACAGUCCGAAGAAGACAAAAACCUCACAA